ACAACCAAACUGGCAAAUCAAGCAACUUUGAAGUUAAGGGGCUAUAAGGCGCCCCCAGAACCGGUAAAGCAAGAAAUGAGCGCAUGACACUUUUUCCUGCAUCAUGUUUGUAAAAAUGUGGUGUGAUUUUAAUUUUCUUGAGGAAAAAAAAAUGGCCGCAUGAGAAGUUGUCCUGCCUUGUGUGUGUAUUUGUUAAGUGUCGUUUUAUUUUGGGAUUCUUCUGCUUGCAAGAUUCACAUUUUGUGCUCGAGACGUUUCACAAACGGUGGCUGUCACAUGUGGGUUGUUUGUUGGCUUUUGCGUCAUAAAGUAUGCGCUAUGAGUAUAUGGAUAACUUACGGUAAAUAAUACAUUUUUAGUCUUCUCAUCAGUCACUGUAUUAACAGAUGGGAAAAAGGAAAAACGACAGUGUAUAAUAGACUUCUACCGCAAUGUGUUAUCCAUUGAUGCAUGCCAGUUAAGUUUUUUUUGUUUUUUUUUUGUGCUGUCAAAGAGUAAUGGUACACACACAAGAAUAUCAUUUUAACCCACCGUUAACUAUAUUUUCAAAAUGGUUAAGUCAAAGGGAAUCCUAAAUCUAUGUUCACUCGAGCCGUCUUUGAGCCAUUACACCGUCUUGUUUCCUGUUCAGUGUCACCAGUCACUUCAUUGCCAAGCCGUCAAUAAGAAACUGUAUAAUUGAAGUGAUUAUCCCCACGCCCCUCCC
Molecule: long non-coding RNA, 706 nt
Organism: Hippocampus comes (tiger tail seahorse)
Lineage: Eukaryota; Metazoa; Chordata; Actinopteri; Syngnathiformes; Syngnathidae
Exons: 2
Source: RefSeq, a predicted model, not a curated record